GAUGAACGCUGGCGGCGUGCCUAAUACAUGCAAGUCGAGCGAACAGAUGAGGAGCUUGCUCCUCUGACGUUAGCGGCGGACGGGUGAGUAACACGUGGAUAACCUACCUAUAAGACUGGGAUAACUUCGGGAAACCGGAGCUAAUACCGGAUAAUAUAUUGAACCGCAUGGUUCAAUAGUGAAAGACGGUUUUGCUGUCACUUAUAGAUGGAUCCGCGCCGCAUUAGCUAGUUGGUAAGGUAACGGCUUACCAAGGCAACGAUGCGUAGCCGACCUGAGAGGGUGAUCGGCCACACGGGAACUGAGCCGCGGUCCAGACUCCUCCGGGAGGCAGCAGUAGGGAAUCUUCGGCAAGGGGCGAAAGCCUGACGGAGCAACGCCGGGUGAGUGAUGAAGGUCUUAGGAUCGAAAAACUCUGUUAUUGGGGAAGAACAAAUGUGUAAGUAACUAUGCACUUCUUGAGGGUACCUAAUAAGAAAGCCCCGGCUAACUACGUG
Molecule: ribosomal RNA, 497 nt
Filed under: uncultured bacterium
Lineage: Bacteria
Description: partial 16S ribosomal RNA
Rfam family: Bacterial small subunit ribosomal RNA
Source: RNAcentral